AUCUCAUGUCACAAUGACUUAUCUAUUUACGGGAAAUGUUAUUGGAACAUGAUUUUGUUAUUUACAUGACAUGACAUGACAUGAUAAGGAUUCUGGAAUGACCUUGUUAAUUGUCCAAGAUUUCGGUAUUUGUAAUCAUCUGGGUUUUAUCCAAUAUGCAUACAUUAUGUAACAUCGAAUUAUAACUAAAAACAGCUGUUUAUAACUUGUGAAAAACAAUGUCAUUGUCACACCCAUAUGCUCAUUUUUCCCCCUCCCAUCCUGCUAUGAAAAUGGGGUAUAAAUAUAACUGACGUAUGAAUACAAUUUGAAUUGGUUAUUGAACACGUCUCUGCUAUUCAUUUCCAAUUUCCAGAGCUCUGUAUGAGUUGGCAAAUAUCCAUCAUCCACAAAGGGCCCAGGCUGAUUUUAUCCCCAACAAACUGGUGUCAGAAGUUUGGGUGCAAUUAGGAACGGAGUUGCAGGUAAGGGGGUCUUUAGCCCCUUGGGGACACAACUUCUGGAAUUUAAGGGUAUCAUGACGGAGUAUUUCUGUCGUGUGUCCUUAAGGGGUUGGGGACCUUUGCCUGCUUCUGCCAUUCUCCCACACAUUGCAUUUCUUGUUUUAAUGGGGUUUUUCACUAUUUACAUUUUUAAAGGGGAUUUUCACAGGAUAAUGUCUUUGGUAGACAUGGUAUUUUGUUAAGUCGUAGGUAGGCUUCUAUUACUCCAUGGGUUGGAGGAUUGCCUUUGGUAGGUAGUAGUAGUUAUUGUGCACAUUUCCUCUUUGGUGAGAGGUUCACCUUUGGCCAGGUGUUAAAAAUAAUUUCAAGCCUUUGGUAGGCUGUGAUGUACCUGUGAUGUACACUUACAUAUGGGAGACGUCCCUAGAUCCCUCUUUGGUAGAGGUUGCCUUUGGUAGGUUGUAAAACAGAUUUCCAGUCUUUGGUGGACUGUGGUAUUUAUUUAACGUAGAUGUCAAUUUUUCAGACUAAAAUGGUUAUUAAAAAAAAAAAAAAAGGGGGGUUAAAAGGUAUGAUGGAUGUUUGGCAUUACUCCGGCUUGCUAAUUUAUGUGCUAUUUUAUGAUGUGCAACGCUAAUUUUAAGCAUAAAGUCUUAAUUGAGGGAAUGUAAAAAGUACAUCUAAUGGUGAUGAGGAAUAAGAAAAAAACUAGAGGUUAUUUAAGGGGGGCUACAAAUUCUAGAACUAACAUGAUUUCUCUGCAUGUAUGUUUGUUUGCAUAAUGAGCCCCUUAUUUUUAUACUUGGUCAAAAGUACUAUAAGCCCACUACACUUUUUCAUGAGAGUGGGAUGUAUGAUUGUUUAUAUGAUGAGCCCUUUAUUUUCAUAUUGGGACAAAAAGUCACUUCAUUCAAAACGUCAAACACCACAUUCUUUCUGCC
Pelobates cultripes (western spadefoot toad) is the source of this 1384-nucleotide non-coding RNA. Lineage: Eukaryota; Metazoa; Chordata; Amphibia; Anura; Pelobatidae. The record is from the annotation of a GenBank genome assembly.